Molecule: transfer RNA, 76 nt
Filed under: Clostridium sp. CAG:470
Lineage: Bacteria; Bacillati; Bacillota; Clostridia; Eubacteriales; Clostridiaceae
Also listed under: 1 other name
Description: transfer RNA-Arg(CCT)
Rfam family: tRNA
About the family: Transfer RNA (tRNA) molecules are approximately 80 nucleotides in length. Their secondary structure includes four short double-helical elements and three loops (D, anti-codon, and T loops).
Source: RNAcentral
GUGCUUAUAGCUCAGCAGGAUAGAGCAGUCGCCUCCUAAGUGACCGAUGGGGGUUCGAGUCCCUCUAGGCACACCA